Molecule: long non-coding RNA, 2267 nt
Organism: Triticum dicoccoides
Lineage: Eukaryota; Viridiplantae; Streptophyta; Magnoliopsida; Poales; Poaceae
Exons: 10
Source: RefSeq, a predicted model, not a curated record
GAUGUGCAGGAAGAAAAGGGUCAUUGGAUUGUACAGGAAGAACGUGAUGUUGUUCUUUGCUGCUCGACCACAUUGCCCUUGGUCAAGAAACAUCUUAAUUUCUCAGCCUCCAUGGACACCGCCGAGAUCCUUGACCACGGUUCAUCGGGACAUGUGCCAUCUAGCAACAAAAAAUUGUGUUUAGCUGUUCAGGCAGGACGCCGACCAGCCGCACAACUGCUUCCCUCAUCUGCCUCUUCAUCGUCAGGGAGGUCGCCCUCCAGCAGAGGAGGAGGCGACGAGGUACAUUGGCCCAUCUUUGAUCAUGUGCCGAGUGACUGACAGGAGGAAGUGACAGGGUACACAAGCAGAUGAAUCAAUACUGCAGAAGUGUGCAUGUGUUGCGAGCAGUGAUCAACAUAGCUGAUUCAUCACUGUUGUUCCUUUUGGUGUGACUAUGGCUGGACUAUUUGCUUGUCAUGAUGAAGAAAUGGCCAUAGCCAUGGGGAUCUUCCUAUUGCAGCGGCUCCGAAAGGAGAGGUACGAGUGUGUAUGCGAGAUAAAAGGGUAAAGCUUCCAUGGCGGUGUGGGCAGUUCUAACUUGUAAGGUCUACUUGAUCUCCUCUCAGUUAUGAUAGACGAUUGGUGCUGUACGGCUUGGUUGAGAUCAAAUUCAACGGAGACGGCAAUUGUCAAGUCUAUUUAUGGGAUUCAAUUUUCUGUUUACUUUUUAAGAAUAGCAUGUUUGGUACCCGGAUAAAUAUAAUGGAUCGGAGUGGUGGAUUGAGUAACUUCCAAAAUGGACCUAAUUAUCUUGGUUUCUCCUUUCACGACAAGAUGGUGUUGGAUGUGGCAUGACGUUGUGUGAGACUAGAAGUCAAGGUUCUGGUCGAUUGAUUUAUAUGUCUCUGAAAUACUUGUACUUCAAAAUGCCGACCACUUUAUAUAGGGCUCCAGUAGUAAAUGCAUUGAGGGGAAGGAGCGACGGCCCGAUAUAUAUCGUUGAUUAUACAAUAUGUAGCAAACACUUUUGUCUUCGACUCAUGUUUGACUUAUUCCUAUUCAAUCUCGCAUUUUCAUUUGCCUAACAUCAGAACUGGGAACAUCAAAAUUGACAUUUGAAUAUAAGCAAGACCAUGAAUUAUAUCGGCUUUAGUGCUCCAUAAUUAAAAGUGACUCUUUUGCCUUGCAACCCCAACUUGGUGACAUGUGUAUAUUGUAAAAGCAAUGUGUUCGUGCGUAUCUAUUUUGAAGCCUUUCACUUGCUGACACGAGUGACAUCUAAGAAUCAACGUCCACUGAUGAACAAUUAAUUACAAAUGCAUUGUAUAUCCUUUUUCUUGGGGGUUAUUUGUUAGUCUUCUCUGAUAUUAACCGUAAAAUGCAUAUUUCAUCAUUUGACUGUAGUCUAAUACUGAAACAUGUAUUCUUGGAUGAUACGUGUGAGUUGUGGACUUCCUUCCCUUUAUCACAAAUCAACAGUACAUACUUCAGAAUUUAGUCGCAUAAGAUUGAUUGUACUUUUUUAUUUUGAGUAGGAAAAAGUACCUUGUUCUGUUAGGUACUUUGCUCCCAGAGAUAAUUUGAUCCACCAACAUUAUUGAUUUUGUUAGGUAUUGUCAGUUAACUGUGCCUCUUCUUCUUUACCCCUUAUUCUUCUCCUUCUUUACCUUUGAUGAUUCAAGGAUAGGCCUCCGUAACAGAGAUUUAGAGUUGAACCCUCUUUUCUGCUGGUUUCCAUGACUCUCAGAACCAUCGAAUUCAAGUCAUCUUUGAGUACAGGACAUCUUCUGAAGUUCGUGCCAUCAUGCUUUAGUUUCCCACAUGGGCUGAGAUUAUUCAAAUAAAAAGACGGUCUUAGGCACAAGAACAUGAUGUGCUUGCGCCAGUUGCUUUCACACCAAGGCCACGCGGUUGAUCAUCUAAGCGUGCCUAUGAAGUUGACCGACAAGGCAGUUGGAUAGAGCUACUAAUUAGUAUACCUAAUAGCUAUUGCUUUGUAGUUUGACCGCCUCUACCGUCAGUAUGCCUGGCUUUUGCUUUCUUAUUAUGUUCCUGCUAUUAGUACUUCCUCUCUCGUGUUCGUGCUCUUAGUAUUGAACUUAAUGUUUAGUUAUUAGCUUUUGUGGUCUAAAGAAGUAACUGAGUGUUUAUAAUUUCAUGACGAUGUUGAACUCGAUAAUAUCUUGCUUCUUACUGAAUGAUCAUUAUCUGCUUGACCAUAUCGUUGGGACCGACACCCUUGCGCCAAGGCGCGGUCCCGAUCUAGUACAGAUGAAGGAUUCAAA